GAUGAACGCUGGCGGCGUGCCUAACACAUGCAAGUCGAACGGAGUCCAGCCUUUAAGGCCUUCGGGUCAAAGAGGGGACGCCUGAGUGGCGGACGGGUGAGUAACACGUGUGCAACCUGGCUCAUAGAGGGGGAUAACAGAGAGAAAUUUCUGCUAAUACCGCAUAAGCACACCCUGCCGCAUGGCAGGGGGUGAAAAGAGAAUCGCUAUGAGAUGGACCCGCGUCUGAUUAGCCAGUUGGCAGGGUAAGAGCCUACCAAAGCGACGAUCAGUAGCCGAUAUGAGAGGAUGAACGGCCACAUUGGGACUGAGACACGGCCCAAACUCCUACGGGAGGCAGCAGUGGGGGAUAUUGCACAAUGGGGGGAACCCUGAUGCAGCGACGCCGCGUGAGUGAAGAAGUAUUUCGGUAUGUAAAGCUCUAUCAGCAGGGAAGAUAAUGACAGUACCUGAAUAAGAAGCCCCGGCUAACUACGUG
This 478-nucleotide ribosomal RNA is filed under the name uncultured bacterium. RNAcentral's name for it is "partial 16S ribosomal RNA". It matches the Rfam family "Bacterial small subunit ribosomal RNA", at positions 28 to 507 of the family's 1533-position model. The record is from RNAcentral.